This 1848-nucleotide long non-coding RNA is filed under the name Homo sapiens (human). Its description in RNAcentral is "non-protein coding MIR99AHG:57". Lineage: Eukaryota; Metazoa; Chordata; Mammalia; Primates; Hominidae. The record is from RNAcentral.
AAACUCUCCUUGUACUUUGCUCUCUUUCUUUAGCUUGCCCAUGGUGAUGUGAAGAUGAGAAGAAAUAGCAAGGCCCAACCAGUUCUUCAUCUGGAGACAGUUCAACGUUCUGCAAACCAGAUCUUCAGGAAUUUUACUGGGAUAAUUAUCCAAAUAAAUUGCAAGCAUUCUAUCCAAAUGGAGCUCUUUCUGAGAUGAAGAGAAUUCUCAAUGUCAAGAUUUGAACAAGAAGAGAAUGGAAUACACAAUAUGGACAUCCAUAAAAAUUCAUCAGAGAGCAUUUUACUACUGAGCUGCAAAGGGAAAAACUUAAAAUGGAUAUGAAAAGUGAAGAAAGUGAUCAUAGGAGAAAACCAUUUCAGGUGUCUGAUGAUUUGUGAGCCUCAAGUGACUACUCUGUGGAAUCAUCUGUCCUUGCCUUUGAAUUAGCUUUCCCUAGGCCAUGAGUCAACAUUAGUAGUUUAUACAUCCAAAUUGAUGACAAGAGCACCUCAAAGGCAGCAGCCUCAAGGAGCAGCCAUGGCCCCAGACUUGUCGCACGGAUGCAGAAAACUUAAUGGAGGAGGCUGAGCAAAACAGAGCGUGACACUCCCAAUCAUCUGCAUGCUGGAAAUGAGGAAAUGGUUAUUGAAUGAUACAAGUGCUUUUCGAUCAUUUAGAAAGUUCUGUUUCCCAAGAUCUUUUUUUUUUUUUUUUUUUUUGAGACGGUGUCUUGCUCUGUCACCCAGGCUGGAGUGCAGUGGCGCGAUCUCGGCUCACCACAACCUCCACCUCCUGGGUUCAAGCGAUUCUCCUGCCUCAGCCUCCCGCGUGGCUGAGACUACAGGCAUGUGCCACCAUGCCCGGCUAAUUUUUGUAUUUUUAGUAGAGACAGGGUUUCACUAUGUUGGCCAGGCUGGUCUCAAACUCCUGACCUCGUGAUCCGCCCGCCUUGGACUCCCAAAGUGCUGGGAUUACAGUUGUGAGCCACUGUGCCCGGCCUAGCAAGAUCACUUUUUAAGUAUCCAGAAAGCUCUUUCUUAUGUUGAAUUAUGUCCAGAGGCAUAACUAGACUGAAGGUUUAGACUCCAUUCAUUCUCCUAUGUUUUUGUUCUUAACUGCAUUCUGCAGUCAAAUCAGGAGCUUUAGAAAAUACUGAUGCCUGGCUCUCAACCAGAGAGAACUGAACUGAAUUGGUCUGGUGAAUUCAUUAAAAGAGCUAACAACAAUGAAGUUAAUGUACGCAUCUCACCUCUCAAGAGUAUUAACAGGCCAGGCGUGUUGGCUCAUACCUGUAAUCCCAGCACUUUGGGAGGCCAAGGCGGGCGGAUCACCCAAGGUAAGUUCAAGACCAGCCUGACCAACAUGGUGAAACCCCGUCUCUAUUAAAAAUACAAAAUUAGCCAGGCAUGGUGGUGCAUCCCUGUAAUCCCAGCUACUCGGCACCUGAGGCACAAGAAUUGCUUGAACCCGGGAGGCAGAGGUUGCGGUGAGCUGAGAUCCUGCCAUUGUACUCCAGCGUGGGCAACAAGAAUGAAACUCUGUCUCAAAAAAAUAAAUAAAUAAAAAUAAGUAUUAACACAUGGGAAAUCAUAAAGUUUUCAUUCUGAGCAGUGUGUCUUUGAAUGUUUUGACCACGCAGAGAUGGGAUUAUCAUGGUAAAAUCCACUCUAUGGAUUUACCAUAAUCUUGGUGGUAACGUGUUAACAGAAGCAAUAUUUAUUAUGAGAGUUAAAGUUUCAUUUGGUUUAGGUUCAUAUUUUCUUUCUCCUGUCAGUCUGCAAUGGCUCCCUAACAUAAUUCCAGAGAGCAUAUGAUGUGCUAGGCUCUGUGUAGGGGACAGGAGCACAGUGGUAAACCAACGUAAAG